GCAAUACUGUGUGGAUCCAGCUGCUGAGUGGCUCCAAAAGAGACUUAAGAGGUUAGAACAGAGAGGAAUAAAAUGUACAGAGCUUUAACAGAGCCUUCAAUAACCAAGAUAAGGAUGAUGCAACAUGACCUUCUGAGCAGAAUGGUGGCGCUAAUUUCUGUUAAACUUUUCUAACUUUGAUCAAAUGUUUUACUUUCUCUAUUUUUCAAUACAUAUUUACCAGUGGCUUGGCAAAAAUCUUACUAUCUUAUAAGCAAAUUAAAAAAGAUGUGAAAAA
This is a long non-coding RNA of Scomber japonicus (chub mackerel), 277 nucleotides long. RefSeq lists it as uncharacterized. The record is from RefSeq and is a predicted model, not a curated record. The transcript has 2 exons. Lineage: Eukaryota; Metazoa; Chordata; Actinopteri; Scombriformes; Scombridae.